Long non-coding RNA from Oryzias melastigma (Indian medaka), 1092 nucleotides. RefSeq lists it as uncharacterized. Lineage: Eukaryota; Metazoa; Chordata; Actinopteri; Beloniformes; Adrianichthyidae. The record is from RefSeq and is a predicted model, not a curated record. The transcript is spliced from 4 exons.
UAUAUAUAUAUAUCAAUCAUUUGCCUGUACCAAAAUCUAUGAACAAAAUAUGUCAAAUUGGAUUAAUAAGCCCAAAAGAAAAUUAUUCUUUGGCUCUCCAGGAUUAAAAGAAGCUGAAAAUAAAAAUCACCCUUUCAGAGAGAUUGCACACUGUUUUUGUUGUGGUUGCUUUAAUGUGUCAUCAAAGAUUUCUCUGAACACUCUUGGGAAGUAGAGCAUUUAUUUCCAUCAGGUAGUUCGCUUUUUUCUUCUUCCUUUUUUUGAUUUCAUUUUAAGCAAAUAAUAUGUUUUAAAAUCCAACUGUUAACAAUUCCAUACUCAAAAAAUGCAUAAAAAGUCAUCUAAAUACCUCUAUAUCAUGUGUCUCUGAGCUUGUGGUGGAAGUGUUCUUACCCUCCAACAGAGUAAUCCACGCUGAACCAUCGCAGAGGUAAAGGGCUUUCUUUUCUUGACUGAACCACAGCUGACCUUGUUGCAGCUCCGUGCAGGUCCUCUCCAAACCCACUGAAACUCGCUUCUCAGCUGCCGACAGAUCAUAAAAACACGGGUCUAGGAGCAGCGGUGGCACAGACAGAGCAGCUAAUUUGGAGUCAGAAGAGGGGCAGAUCUGAUGAGUCGCAUCAGAACCUGGCACCAGAACCAGCUGUCGCAGCAAACCCUGAAGAUGGGACGAAAACAAGCCCUUCCAUCUUCCACGACUGCCAAUGUGGAAUCUGGAUCCCUGAAUGUUGAGGUCUGAGGAAAAGGGCCUGGAGGGAACGCUGAAACAGAAGAUCAUUAUUACAAAUAGCUGAGGUUCGCCGUGUUUCUUCUGUAAAUGAGCUGCCGCAAAACUCCCUGCAGUCAAAGCAUUUUAUGUGUUGUGUAAUUUUUAAUAAAGUGCUAGAAUAUGAGACUUCAAUUUCAUGUCUAUAAAUGCUAUGGAUGUUGCACCCUUCAGUGUUCCAGAGGGAGUUUCCACUCAAAACCGUUGAUCACUUACUGUCAGAUCACUAUCGUACAGCUCCAGGGAGAGAGCAGAUUGAGAGCAUUAUAUCACACUGAAGGAUCCAGUUGAGAAACAGGAAGAUAUUGUGGCUUCAGACAGAAAAA